This 465-nucleotide ribosomal RNA is filed under the name Vreelandella stevensii. Its description in RNAcentral is "partial 16S ribosomal RNA". It matches the Rfam family "Bacterial small subunit ribosomal RNA", at positions 338 to 795 of the family's 1533-position model. Lineage: Bacteria; Pseudomonadati; Pseudomonadota; Gammaproteobacteria; Oceanospirillales; Halomonadaceae. The record is from RNAcentral.
CCUUCGGGCGGCAGCAGUGGGGAAUAUUGGACAAUGGGCGAAAGCCUGAUCCAGCCAUGCCGCGUGUGUGAAGAAGGCCUUCGGGUUGUAAAGCACUUUCAGUGGGGAAGAAAGCCUUGGGGCUAAUACCCUCGAGGAAGGACAUCACCCACAGAAGAAGCACCGGCUAACUCCGUGCCAGCAGCCGCGGUAAUACGGAGGGUGCGAGCGUUAAUCGGAAUUACUGGGCGUAAAGCGCGCGUAGGCGGUCUGAUAAGCCGGUUGUGAAAGCCCCGGGCUCAACCUGGGAACGGCAUCCGGAACUGUCAGGCUAGAGUGCAGGAGAGGAAGGUAGAAUUCCCGGUGUAGCGGUGAAAUGCGUAGAGAUCGGGAGGAAUACCAGUGGCGAAGGCGGCCUUCUGGACUGACACUGACGCUGAGGUGCGAAAGCGUGGGUAGCAAACAGGAUUAGAUACCCCGGUAGUC